GCGGCGGRCGUWUCGGAUUUAUUGGGCGUAAGCGAGCGCAGACGGUUUAUUAAGUCUGAUGUGAAAGCCCGGAGCUCAACUCCGGAAUGGCAUUGGAAACUGGUUAACUUGAGUGCAGUAGAGGUAAGUGGAACUCCAUGUGUAGCGGUGGAAUGCGUAGAUAUAUGGAAGAACACCAGUGGCGAAGGCGGCUUACUGGACUGCAACUGACGUUGAGGCUCGAAAGUGUGGGUAGCAAACAGGAUUAGAUACCCUGGUAGUCCACACCGUAAACGAUGAACACUAGGUGUUAGGAGGUUUCCGCCUCUUAGUGCCGAAGCUAACGCAUUAAGUGUUCCGCCUGGGGAGUACGACCGCAAGGUUGAAACUCAAAGGAAUUGACGGGGACCCGCACAAGCGGUGGAGCAUGUGGUUUAAUUCGAAGCAACGCGAAGAACCUUACCAGGUCUUGACAUCCUUUGAAGCUUUUAGAGAUAGAAGUGUUCUCUUCGGAGACAAAGUGACAGGUGGUGCAUGGUCGUCGUCAGCUCGUGUCGUGAGAUGUUGGGUUAAGUCCCGCAACGAGCGCAACCCUUAUUGUUAGUUGCCAGCAUUCAGAUGGGCACUCUAGCGAGACUGCCGGUGACAAACCGGAGGAAGGCGGGGACGACGUCAGAUCAUCAUGCCCCUUAUGACCUGGGCUACACACGUGCUACAAUGGCGUAUACAACGAGUUGCCAACCCGCGAGGGUGAGCUAAUCUCUUAAAGUACGUCUCAGUUCGGAUUGUAGUCUGCAACUCGACUACAUGAAGUCGGAAUCGCUAGUAAUCGCGGAUCAGCACGCCGCGGUGAAUACGUUCCCGGGUCUUGUACAACCCCSCCCCGUC
Molecule: ribosomal RNA, 867 nt
Filed under: Leuconostoc mesenteroides
Lineage: Bacteria; Bacillati; Bacillota; Bacilli; Lactobacillales; Lactobacillaceae
Description: bacterial SSU rRNA
Rfam family: Bacterial small subunit ribosomal RNA
Source: RNAcentral